RNAcentral lists this ribosomal RNA (812 nucleotides) under Streptomyces sp. RNAcentral describes it as "bacterial SSU rRNA". It matches the Rfam family "Bacterial small subunit ribosomal RNA", at positions 90 to 915 of the family's 1533-position model. Lineage: Bacteria; Bacillati; Actinomycetota; Actinomycetes; Kitasatosporales; Streptomycetaceae. The record is from RNAcentral.
GGAUAGUGGCGACGGGUGAGUAACACGUGGGCAAUCUGCCCUGCACUCUGGGACAAGCCCUGGAAACGGGGUCUAAUACCGGAUACUGACCAUCUUGGGCAUCCUUGAUGGUCGAAAGCUCCGGCGGUGCAGGAUGAGCCCGCGGCCUAUCAGCUUGUUGGUGAGGUAAUGGCUCACCAAGGCGACGACGGGUAGCCGGCCUGAGAGGGCGACCGGCCACACUGGGACUGAGACACGGCCCAGACUCCUACGGGAGGCAGCAGUGGGGAAUAUUGCACAAUGGGCGAAAGCCUGAUGCAGCGACGCCGCGUGAGGGAUGACGGCCUUCGGGUUGUAAACCUCUUUCAGCAGGGAAGAAGCGAAAGUGACGGUACCUGCAGAAGAAGCGCCGGCUAACUACGUGCCAGCAGCCGCGGUAAUACGUAGGGCGCGAGCGUUGUCCGGAAUUAUUGGGCGUAAAGAGCUCGUAGGCGGCUUGUCACGUCGGUUGUGAAAGCCCGGGGCUUAACCCCGGGUCUGCAGUCGAUACGGGCAGGCUAGAGUUCGGUAGGGGAGAUCGGAAUUCCUGGUGUAGCGGUGAAAUGCGCAGAUAUCAGGAGGAACACCGGUGGCGAAGGCGGAUCUCUGGGCCGAUACUGACGCUGAGGAGCGAAAGCGUGGGGAGCGAACAGGAUUAGAUACCCUGGUAGUCCACGCCGUAAACGGUGGGCACUAGGUGUGGGCAACAUUCCACGUUGUCCGUGCCGCAGCUAACGCAUUAAGUGCCCCGCCUGGGGAGUACGGCCGCAAGGCUAAACUCAAAGGAAUUGACG